CGAACGGGAUGCUUAGGCAUCUAGUGGCGGACGGGUGAGUAACGCGUGAGAAUCUGGCUCCAGGUCGGGGAUAACAGUUGGAAACGACUGCUAAUACCGGAUGUGCCGAGAGGUGAAAGAUUUAUUGCCUGGAGAUGAGCUCGCGUCUGAUUAGCUAGUUGGUGGUGUAAGGGACCACCAAGGCGUCGAUCAGUAGCUGGUCUGAGAGGAUGAUCAGCCACACUGGGACUGAGACACGGCCCAGACUCCUACGGGAGGCAGCAGUGGGGAAUUUUCCGCAAUGGGCGAAAGCCUGACGGAGCAAUACCGCGUGAGGGAGGAAGGCUCUUGGGUCGUAAACCUCUUUUCUCAAGGAAGAAGAAAGUGACGGUACUUGAGGAAUAAGCAUCGGCUAACUCCGUGCCAGCAGCCGCGGUAAUACGGAGGAUGCAAGCGUUAUCCGGAAUGAUUGGGCGUAAAGGGUCUGCAGGUGGAACUGAAAGUCUGCUGUUAAAGAGUUUGGCUUAACCAAAUAAAAGCGGUGGAAACUACAGAACUAGAGUGCGGUAGGGGCAAAAGGAAUUCCUGGUGUAGCGGUGAAAUGCGUAGAUAUCAGGAAGAACACCGGUGGCGAAAGCGUUUUGCUAGACCGUAACUGACACUGAGGGACGAAAGCUAGGGGAGCGAAUGGGAUUAGAUACCCCAGUAGUCCUAGCCGUAAACGAUGGAUACUAGGCGUGGCUUGUAUCGACCCGAGCCGUGCCGGAGCUAACGCGUUAAGUAUCCCGCCUGGGGAGUACGCACGCAAGUGUGAAACUCAAAGGAAUUGACGGGGGCCCGCACAAGCGGUGGAGUAUGUGGUUUAAUUCGAUGCAACGCGAAGAACCUUACCAAGACUUGACAUCCUGCGAAUCCUGGUGAAAGCUGGGAGUGCCUUCGGGAGCGCAGAGACAGGUGGUGCAUGGCUGUCGUCAGCUCGUGUCGUGAGAUGUUGGGUUAAGUCCCGCAACGAGCGCAACCCUCGUUUUUAGUUGCCAGCAUUAAGUUGGGCACUCUAGAGAGACUGCCGGUGACAAACCGGAGGAAGGUGAGGAUGACGUCAAGUCAGCAUGCCCCUUACGUCUUGGGCUACACACGUACUACAAUGCUACGGACAGAGGGCAGCAAGCCAGGGAUGGCAAGCGAAUCCAGAAACCGUAGCUCAGUUCAGAUCGAAGGCUGCAACUCGCCUUCGUGAAGGAGGAAUCGCUAGUAAUUGCAGGUCAGCAUACUGCAGUGAAUUCGUUCCCGGGCCUUGUACACACCGCCCGUCACACCAUGGAAGUUGGUCACGCCCGAAGUCAUUACCCCAACCGAAAGGAGGGGGAUGCCUAAGGUAGGACUGGUGACUGGGGUGAAGUCGUAACAAGGUAGCCGUACCGGAAGGUGUGGCUGGAUCACCUCCUUU
This 1426-nucleotide ribosomal RNA is filed under the name uncultured Cylindrospermopsis sp. Its description in RNAcentral is "bacterial SSU rRNA". It matches the Rfam family "Bacterial small subunit ribosomal RNA". Lineage: Bacteria; Bacillati; Cyanobacteriota; Cyanophyceae; Nostocales; Aphanizomenonaceae. The record is from RNAcentral.